UUUCAUCACAAAUGUAUCAGUUGUGAUCAGUAAAUACUCUGUAUGAGUUCUUUAAGAAAUUUACUGCUUUUUCACGUUGGCUCUUAAAACAAAUAUGCAUCCGAGUUACACGAGGAGACCAGCUAUUUCACAUCUGCUGUACUUUCCAUUUCAACAGGUUGGAGAACAAAAGCCUUCAGGUUGUUGCUGACAGCAGAUUUCUAAUGAGGACAUUCUUUCAUAGAGCAAUAUUUAAGAGCAUGGGGAGGAAUGAGCUCACUGUUCACAAGUGGUCAGUAAAAUCUCAAAUUUCCUUUUUCCUUUCUCCUUGCAUAUUUGUUCCAUUUCCUGAUGUACGCAGGAAUGACUAGAAGUAAUUACACAAGUGAUGUCUACUCUUUCUCUCCCACCUCUUUUAAAAAUAUGAAUUUCACAUCUUUGUUUUCUUUCUGCAGUUCUGACCGUAGAAUCCUAGGAGAAUUUUGGCUUUUUAUCUUUAUGAAAACGCAUAUGUAUAAACACAUAUAUAUAAUUCAAUGUCUGUGUGCAACCUUCUCAGCAAAAGGUCUUUCACCAAGAAUGGGGUGGCCCUCUGGCUGUAAACAAGAGAUCCUCUAAACAGACUUGGACCUAGGAAAGCCUGCUAGGAUGAGAAUAUGGCAGAAACACAAGACAUUUACAUUUGUAUCAGUUUUGAAAGCUCCAAACAGAAAGAAAUUGAGGGCUCUUCAGAAUAAAGAUACUCUGAAAGAUAUUGCUCA
Molecule: long non-coding RNA, 740 nt
Filed under: Numida meleagris (helmeted guineafowl)
Lineage: Eukaryota; Metazoa; Chordata; Aves; Galliformes; Numididae
Description: lncRNA (ENSNMEG00000003742.1)
Source: RNAcentral